ACCCUUUCUGAUAACUGCUUGCCAAGACCUCUUGAUCUUUUUCACCAUGGGAUGAUCGGCUUCAGCACCGUGUAAGAUGAAAGGCUCUAAAGCUUCAGUUUUUGGAGGGCUAUUCAUAGGGUACCCAUGCUGCCUCAGAGAUAACAUGGGGUUAUAGUUGAUGCAACCCUUGGUUCCUAUCAAAGGCACGUUGGGGAAGUCUCCAAUGUUGACAAU
This 216-nucleotide long non-coding RNA is filed under the name Lathyrus oleraceus (garden pea). RNAcentral describes it as "Pisum sativum (pea) long non-coding RNA (PSAT_LNC027634)". The record is from RNAcentral. Lineage: Eukaryota; Viridiplantae; Streptophyta; Magnoliopsida; Fabales; Fabaceae.